Molecule: ribosomal RNA, 484 nt
Filed under: uncultured bacterium
Lineage: Bacteria
Description: partial 16S ribosomal RNA
Rfam family: Bacterial small subunit ribosomal RNA
Source: RNAcentral
AUUGAACGCUGGCGGCAUGCUUUACACAUGCAAGUCGAACGGCAGCGCGGGCUUCGGCCUGGCGGCGAGUGGCGAACGGGUGAGUAAUACAUCGGAACGUGCCCCGUAGUGGGGGAUAGCUCGGCGAAAGCCGGAUUAAUACCGCAUCCGACCUGAGGGUGAAAGCGGGGGAUCUUCGGACCUCGCGCUAUUGGAGCGGCCGAUGGCAGAUUAGCUAGUUGGUGGGGUAAAGGCCUACCAAGGCGACGAUCUGUAGCUGGUCUGAGAGGACGACCAGCCACACUGGGACUGAGACACGGCCCAGACUCCUGCGGGAGGCAGCAGUGGGGAAUUUUGGACAAUGGGCGAAAGCCUGAUCCAGCAAUGCCGCGUGUGUGAUGAAGGCCUUCGGGUUGUAAAGCACUUUUGGCGGGAACGAAAAGGACUGUGCCAAUACCACGGUUCGAUGACGGUACCCGCAGAAUAAGCACCGGCUAACUACGUG